Molecule: long non-coding RNA, 822 nt
Organism: Oreochromis aureus
Lineage: Eukaryota; Metazoa; Chordata; Actinopteri; Cichliformes; Cichlidae
Source: Ensembl
CUCUACUAUGUUUCCGAGUAAACGUAUUAUGGAGAGAAAAAGAGCAACGAAAUUCAAAGUGCGGCCGACAGGACCGCGUCUGCACGCUUGAAGUACGCAUUUCAAGUGCGAUUACGUCACCGCCACGCGACGACGCCUGUCCCAAUUCAAAGUGCACUUCAAAUGCAUACUCCAAAUGCGCCGUCGAUUUCCCCAAAUAUCAAGCGUGGUCCGGUGGACACUUCGUGGUCCCAUAUAUCCCACAAUUCAUAGCGCGGCGGUGGGUGUGGAUAAUUUUUGUCGGCAGAAGGGAGCGGCCGAAGAGUGAACUGUCAAAAAUAUCUUCACGCAGCAGUGUCACUUCCUGCAUCAGUGCGGUCAUUCGGAGAAGUCGACUGCCCUGUUUCAGGCAAUGACUGACUUUACCUUCUUCAAGCCUGACAGCGUGCGAGAGCUGUCCACUCCGCAGCAGUCCAAGACGACCUGAUGGGAGAGAAGCUGAGGUUGAGACGUCUGGUUGGCUGCUACGCUCCUUUCCAGCAGCCAACACAGUCUAUACCCAGGUUAGAGAGAAGAUGGAAGAACUAUACUGCACGUUAACAGCUGAACAGCAGCUGAACAGCAGCAAGGAGGGUAAGCUCGCGAGAGCUGACGCUGACUCAAACAGGCCCUGUGCCAGCAGGGUAGCUGCUGAGUGUGAGGCGUUGGCCGUGCAGCAGGCGGCACUGCUAAAGUACCACAACAGCGUCGCUGUGUUUCCUCUGGUGACACUGAGACAAACGCUGACAUCGGCCCUCCCAGUCUGGACCACCAGCGUCCCUCUCUGGAGCAUUUAUCUACAGG